This 433-nucleotide ribosomal RNA is filed under the name uncultured bacterium. RNAcentral describes it as "partial 16S ribosomal RNA". It matches the Rfam family "Bacterial small subunit ribosomal RNA", at positions 29 to 507 of the family's 1533-position model. The record is from RNAcentral.
AACGAACGCUGGCGGCAUGCCUAACACAUGCAAGUCGAACGAGACCUUCGGGUCUAGUGGCGCACGGGUGCGUAACGCGUGGGAACCUGCCCUUAGGUUCGGAAUAACUCCCCGAAAGGGGUGCUAAUACCGGAUAAUGUCUUCGGACCAAAGAUUUAUCGCCUUUGGAUGGGCCCGCGUUGGAUUAGCUAGUUGGUAGGGUAAAAGCCUACCAAGGCGACGAUCCAUAGCUGGUCUGGGAGGAUGAUCAGCCACACUGGGACUGAGACACGGCCCAGACUCCUACGGGAGGCAGCAGUGGGGAAUAUUGGACAAUGGGCGAAAGCCUGAUCCAGCAAUGCCGCGUGAGUGAUGAAGGCCUUAGGGUUGUAAAGCUCUUUUAACCGGGAUGAUAAUGACAGUACCGGGAGAAUAAGCUCCGGCUAACUCCGUG